AGAUUAAGUGUCGCGACCUAAAAAAUCGCGACCACUUCCAACCCUCUGUUGUUAUAACUACCUUGUUGCUUUGGCGGGACCGUUCGGUCCUCCGAGCGCACCAGUCUUCGGACAGGUGAGCGCCCGCCAGAGUCCAACCAAACUCUUGUUUUUAACCAGUCGUCUGAGUAAACUUAAUUAAUAAAUUAAAACUUUUAACAACGGAUCUCUUGGUUCU
RNAcentral lists this unclassified non-coding RNA (217 nucleotides) under rhizosphere metagenome. RNAcentral describes it as "partial ribosomal RNA internal transcribed spacer region". The record is from RNAcentral.